GUGUGAACAAAAAGAAAGGCCGCCAGCCGGUAAUCCGGCUGGCGGCCUUUUCAUUUCGCAUGGCCAUU
RNAcentral lists this small RNA (68 nucleotides) under Paenibacillus sp. P22. RNAcentral describes it as "mraW RNA". Lineage: Bacteria; Bacillati; Bacillota; Bacilli; Caryophanales; Paenibacillaceae. The record is from RNAcentral.